Molecule: ribosomal RNA, 333 nt
Filed under: Ravinia lherminieri
Lineage: Eukaryota; Metazoa; Arthropoda; Insecta; Diptera; Sarcophagidae
Description: eukaryotic LSU rRNA
Rfam family: Eukaryotic large subunit ribosomal RNA
Source: RNAcentral
AAAGACCAAUCGAACCAUCUAGUAGCUGGUUCCCUCCGAAGUUUCCCUCAGGAUAGCUGGUGCAUUUAAAUAUUAUGUAAAAUAAUCUUAUCUGGUAAAGCGAAUGAUUAGAGGCCUUAGGGUCGAAACGACCUUAACCUAUUCUCAAACUUUAAAUGGGUAAGAACCUCACCUUUCUUGGUAUGAAGGUUGUGGUUGUGAUAUAAUGUGCCCAGUGGGCCACUUUUGGUAAGCAGAACUGGCGCUGUGGGAUGAACCAAACGUAAUGUUACGGUGCCCAAAUUAACAACUCAUGCAGAUACCAUGAAAGGCGUUGGUUGCUUAAAACAGCAG